CGCACCCGUAGCUCAACGGAUAGAGCAUCUGACUACGGAUCAGAAGGUUAGGGGUUCGAAUCCCUUCGGGUGCA
This 74-nucleotide transfer RNA is filed under the name Klenkia terrae. RNAcentral describes it as "partial tRNA-Arginine (ACG)". It matches the Rfam family "tRNA". From Rfam's summary of the family: Transfer RNA (tRNA) molecules are approximately 80 nucleotides in length. Their secondary structure includes four short double-helical elements and three loops (D, anti-codon, and T loops). The record is from RNAcentral. Lineage: Bacteria; Bacillati; Actinomycetota; Actinomycetes; Geodermatophilales; Geodermatophilaceae.